RNAcentral lists this ribosomal RNA (482 nucleotides) under uncultured bacterium. Its description in RNAcentral is "partial 16S ribosomal RNA". It matches the Rfam family "Bacterial small subunit ribosomal RNA", at positions 30 to 507 of the family's 1533-position model. The record is from RNAcentral.
AUUGAACGCUGGCGGCAUGCUUUACACAUGCAAGUCGAACGGUAACAGGCCGCAAGGUGCUGACGAGUGGCGAACGGGUGAGUAAUGCAUCGGAACGUGCCCAGUCGUGGGGGGUAACUACUCGAAAGAGUAGCUAAUACCGCAUACGAUCUAUGGAUGAAAGCGGGGGACCGUAAGGCCUCGCGCGAUUGGAGCGGCCGAUGUCAGAUUAGGUAGUUGGUGGGGUAAAGGCUCACCAAGCCAACGAUCUGUAGCUGGUCUGAGAGGACGACCAGCCACACUGGGACUGAGACACGGCCCAGACUCCUACGGGAGGCAGCAGUGGGGAAUUUUGGACAAAGGGCGCAAGCCUGAUCCAGCAAUGCCGCGUGCAGGAAGAAGGCCUUCGGGUUGUAAACUGCUUUUGUACGGAACGAAACGGCUCUGGUUAAUACCCGGGGCUAAUGACGGUACCGUAAGAAUAAGCACCGGCUAACUACGUG